GUCUCACUGCGGCGUUGGUGACUACCAAUAAUGUUUUAUGAUCUAUGCUUCGUCUUAAAGGGAAUCGAGUGCUGUGGUGGCAGUAGACCAAGCUUGUACUUGGAAACUUUAAGCCAUAUGCCAUGAAUCCCACCUGGUUUUUCCAGGUCAAAAGCUGAGGUAAGACGGCGUUGCGGUGAGUCU
RNAcentral lists this non-coding RNA (183 nucleotides) under Cyanothece sp. SIO2G6. RNAcentral describes it as "6S RNA". It matches the Rfam family "6S / SsrS RNA". From Rfam's summary of the family: E. coli 6S RNA was the first non coding RNA to be sequenced, but its function was unknown until recently. Lineage: Bacteria; Bacillati; Cyanobacteriota; Cyanophyceae; Gomontiellales; Cyanothecaceae. The record is from RNAcentral.